UUUCUUAAAAAAAAGUAAAAAUAUACAGAACUUACCAGAACUAUGAAUCAUUUUGAGUUUAAUUACCUAAUCUUUCAAAAUUUUAAUUUUACUAUCCAACCUUACCAAUUUGCCAGAUUUGAGUCUGACGAAUUUGAAUCUGCCGUUUACUUUUAUAGAUUUAGUUAGUAUAUUUUAUACAAUUCUCGUAACUAUAAAUUCAUUAAAGUAAGUAAUCGGCUUAAAUUUUGAAAUCAAAAUAUCGUUGACUGACACAAAUCAAACAAAUCAAACAAAUUAAAAAGCUGGAUAAUAAAAUCAANAGUAAAAAUAUACAGAACUUACCAGAACUAUGAAUCAUUUUGAGUUUAAUUACCUAAUCUUUCAAAAUUUUAAUUUUACUAUCCAACCUUGCAAUUUGCCGGAUUUGAGUCUGACGAAUUUGAAUCUGCCGUUUACUUUUACAGAUUUAGUUAGUAUAUUUCAUACAAUUCUCGUAACUAUAAAUUCAUUAAAGUAAGUAAUCGGCUUAAAUUUUGAAAUCAAAAUAUCGUUGACCGACACAAAUCAAACAAAUCAAACAAAUUAAAAAGCUGGAUAAUAAAAUCACAAUUUUGAUAAGCCCUAAAAUUAAAAUUUAAAAAAAUUUAAAAAAUUUAAAAUCUCCUCAGAUGUCUCUUCAUCUCCACACACACUUCCACAUAACAGCAUCUGAGAUGAUGCUACUGCUGCUUUCGGAAAUUGGAACGAUUUUUGGAAGCAAACAGGGUAAGAAUAAUUCAUCAUCAUAGGAGGAAUCGUAGUAGUAGUAACAAUAAUAAUAAUAAUAAUUGACAAAAAAA
This 821-nucleotide long non-coding RNA is filed under the name Ananas comosus (pineapple). Its description in RNAcentral is "long non-coding RNA (ACOM_LNC036460)". The record is from RNAcentral. Lineage: Eukaryota; Viridiplantae; Streptophyta; Magnoliopsida; Poales; Bromeliaceae.